CGCGGUUGGGGGGGGCUAUACAUGCAAGUAGAACGCUGAAGAGAGGAGCUUGCUCUUCUUGGAUGAGUUGCGAACGGGUGAGUAACGCGUAGGUAACCUGCCUUGUAGCGGGGGAUAACUAUUGGAAACGAUAGCUAAUACCGCAUAACAAUGGAUGACACAUGUCAUUUAUUUGAAAGGGGCAAUUGCUCCACUACAAGAUGGACCUGCGUUGUAUUAGCUAGUAGGUGAGGUAACGGCUCACCUAGGCGACGAUACAUAGCCGACCUGAGAGGGUGAUCGGCCACACUGGGACUGAGACACGGCCCAGACUCCUACGGGAGGCAGCAGUAGGGAAUCUUCGGCAAUGGGGGCAACCCUGACCGAGCAACGCCGCGUGAGUGAAGAAGGUUUUCGGAUCGUAAAGCUCUGUUGUAAGUCAAGAACGAGUGUGAGAGUGGAAAGUUCACACUGUGACGGUAGCUUACCAGAAAGGGACGGCUAACUACGUGCCAGCAGCCGCGGUAAUACGUAGGUCCCGAGCGUUGUCCGGAUUUAUUGGGCGUAAAGCGAGCGCAGGCGGUUUGAUAAGUCUGAAGUUAAAGGCUGUGGCUCAACCAUAGUUCGCUUUGGAAACUGUCAAACUUGAGUGCAGAAGGGGAGAGUGGAAUUCCAUGUGUAGCGGUGAAAUGCGUAGAUAUAUGGAGGAACACCGGUGGCGAAAGCGGCUCUCUGGUCUGUAACUGACGCUGAGGCUCGAAAGCGUGGGGAGCGAACAGGAUUAGAUACCCUGGUAGUCCACGCCGUAAACGAUGAGUGCUAGGUGUUGGAUCCUUUCCGGGAUUCAGUGCCGCAGCUAACGCAUUAAGCACUCCGCCUGGGGAGUACGACCGCAAGGUUGAAACUCAAAGGAAUUGACGGGGGCCCGCACAAGCGGUGGAGCAUGUGGUUUAAUUCGAAGCAACGCGAAGAACCUUACCAGGUCUUGACAUCCCGAUGCUAUUUCUAGAGAUAGAAAGUUACUUCGGUACAUCGGUGACAGGUGGUGCAUGGUUGUCGUCAGCUCGUGUCGUGAGAUGUUGGGUUAAGUCCCGCAACGAGCGCAACCCCUAUUGUUAGUUGCCAUCAUUCAGUUGGGCACUCUAGCGAGACUGCCGGUAAUAAACCGGAGGAAGGUGGGGAUGACGUCAAAUCAUCAUGCCCCUUAUGACCUGGGCUACACACGUGCUACAAUGGUUGGUACAACGAGUUGCGAGUCGGUGACGGCAAGCUAAUCUCUUAAAGCCAAUCUCAGUUCGGAUUGUAGGCUGCAACUCGCCUACAUGAAGUCGGAAUCGCUAGUAAUCGCGGAUCAGCACGCCGCGGUGAAUACGUUCCCGGGCCUUGUACACACCGCCCGUCACACCACGAGAGUUUGUAACACCCGAAGUCGGUGAGGUAACCUUUUGGAGCCAGCCGCGUAAGGUGGAAUAGAAU
This 1455-nucleotide ribosomal RNA is filed under the name Streptococcus salivarius. Its description in RNAcentral is "bacterial SSU rRNA". It matches the Rfam family "Bacterial small subunit ribosomal RNA". The record is from RNAcentral. Lineage: Bacteria; Bacillati; Bacillota; Bacilli; Lactobacillales; Streptococcaceae.